CCCUCUCUCAAGAAACGAAAAAAGUGUUUGUUCAGCCAACCCUAGAAUUUUUUGCAUUUAUAAACUCCUACAGAUCUCUAAUUGUCUCUCCAACUAAUCAGAAUCAACGCCCGUUAUUUCUGCUAGCUACGCAUGAAGCCAAGGCGAUCCGCCAGCCAGAUUAAACUCGUUUGACUGGUUGCAGGAAAAAGGAAGAAGGUAGGAAUUUGGUGCAGGCCCACAGAGCCAGCCGGAGCAAACGUAGAAUCGGAUAGUAGAAGUCGCAAAAGCAUUUGCUCCUCUCGGUCGUACUCCUGUUUUCCUUCUUCAUGCAUGGGUCAUACUCUUCUGCUGCGUGGUGUGCACGGGCGGAGCCAAGCUAUCACCGUGCCCCGGGCCUCCUUCGUUGCUACAGAGAUUAGCAUGAUCAUCAGUGUAAAAAAUGCUAGA
Molecule: long non-coding RNA, 429 nt
Filed under: Hordeum vulgare
Lineage: Eukaryota; Viridiplantae; Streptophyta; Magnoliopsida; Poales; Poaceae
Description: long non-coding RNA (HVUL_LNC001810)
Source: RNAcentral